GAUGAAGAACGUAGCGAAAGUGCGAAACGUAAUGUGAAUUGCAGAAUUCAGUGAAUCAUCGAAUCUUUGAACGCACAUUGCGCCCGCUAGUAUUCUGGCGGGCAUGCCUGUUCGAGCGUCAUUUCAACCAUCAAGCCUUAGGCUUGUGUUGGGGCCCUGCGGCCGUCCGCAGCCCUCUAAAAGCAGUGGCGGGCUCGCUAUCACACCGAGUGCAGUAGUUUACUCUUCUCUCAGGGCGUGUGGCGGGUUCCGGCCGUGAAACCCCUCCAAUUUAUCAAGGUUGACCUCGGAUCAGGUAGGAAUACCCGCUGAACUUAAGCAUAUCAAUAAGCGGAGGA
Molecule: unclassified non-coding RNA, 338 nt
Filed under: soil metagenome
Description: partial contains 5.8S ribosomal RNA, internal transcribed spacer 2, and large subunit ribosomal RNA
Rfam family: 5.8S ribosomal RNA (bases 1-121)
Source: RNAcentral